RNAcentral lists this ribosomal RNA (253 nucleotides) under uncultured bacterium. RNAcentral describes it as "partial 16S ribosomal RNA". It matches the Rfam family "Bacterial small subunit ribosomal RNA", at positions 524 to 776 of the family's 1533-position model. The record is from RNAcentral.
UACGGAGGAGGCAAGCGUUAUCCGGAAUUAUUGGGCGUAAAGGGUACGUAGGCGGCUGGUCAAGUCUGGGGUCAAAGGCCACAGCUCAACUGUGGGAAGGCCCUGGAAACUGACCGGCUAGAGUGAGGUAGGGGUUGCGGGAAUUCUCGGUGUAGCGAUGAAAUGCGUAGAGAUCGGGAAGAACACCUGAGGCGGAAGCGCGCAACUGGGCCUCAACUGACGCUGAGGUACGAAAGCUAGGGGAGCGAAUGGG